Molecule: small RNA, 194 nt
Filed under: Staphylococcus aureus
Lineage: Bacteria; Bacillati; Bacillota; Bacilli; Caryophanales; Staphylococcaceae
Description: HMPRNC0000_1868
Source: RNAcentral
AAAGCUGAUGGUAAUUAUGUACAAGCGCACAACCAUAUAGCUGCCUUGAAUGAACAAAUGAAACAGCUAAGAUCUUAUAUGGAAGAAAUACCAGAAUUAAUUAGAGAAACUCAAAAAGAAUUACCUGGUCAAUUCCAAGAUUUAAAAUAUGGUUGCCGUGAUCUUAAAGUUGAAGGGUAUGAUCUGGAUCACGU